Molecule: signal recognition particle RNA, 89 nt
Filed under: Microbacteriaceae bacterium
Lineage: Bacteria; Bacillati; Actinomycetota; Actinomycetes; Micrococcales; Microbacteriaceae
Description: signal recognition particle sRNA small type
Rfam family: Bacterial small signal recognition particle RNA
About the family: The signal recognition particle (SRP) is a universally conserved ribonucleoprotein involved in the co-translational targeting of proteins to membranes. Archaeal SRP consists of a 7S RNA and homologues of the eukaryotic SRP19 and SRP54 proteins. In most bacteria, the SRP consists of a 4.5S RNA and the Ffh protein (a homologue of the eukaryotic SRP54 protein).
Source: RNAcentral
UAUGACCCCGUCAACGACGACCCGUGAACCCCGUCAGGCCCGGAAGGGAGCAGCGGUAGCGGAUCCCGUCGGGUGACGGGGUCACUCAA